Molecule: ribosomal RNA, 432 nt
Filed under: uncultured bacterium
Lineage: Bacteria
Description: partial 16S ribosomal RNA
Rfam family: Bacterial small subunit ribosomal RNA
Source: RNAcentral
ACGCACGCUGGCGGCAUGCCUAACACAUGCAAGUCGAACGAGACCUUCGGGUCUAGUGGCGCACGGGUGCGUAACGCGUGGGAACCUGCCCUUAGGUUCGGAAUAACUCCCCGAAAGGGGUGCUAAUACCGGAUAAUGUCUUCGGACCAAAGAUUUAUCGCCUUUGGAUGGGCCCGCGUUGGAUUAGCUAGUUGGUAGGGUAAAAGCCUACCAAGGCGACGAUCCAUAGCUGGCCUGAGAGGAUGAUCAGCCACACUGGGACUGAGACACGGCCCAGACUCCUACGGGAGGCAGCAGUGGGGAAUAUUGGACAAUGGGCGAAAGCCUGAUCCAGCAAUGCCGCGUGAGUGAUGAAGGCCUUAGGGUUGUAAAGCUCUUUUACCCGGGAUGAUAAUGACAGUACCGGGAGAAUAAGCUCCGGCUAACUCCGUG